UGAUAUUUAUAAUCGAUUACCAAAGAAGAGAAAUCAGAAUUGAAAUAAACAGUAACAAAAAAAACUCAUAAAACACGAUUAUGAGUUUAAAAGAUGAGCUCAACCAGAUUUUAAGAGUUCGGCUACAGUGAUGUUAAGUUCAACCAAUUGAUUUUAAGCUCGAUCAAGUUGAUGUUAAUCUCAAUAGAAAAGAGGUUGAACUUGACUGAACUACACUAAGUUCGAUCAAAUUUUAUAGAAGUAUAGACAAAAUGAUACGAGUUUGUUCGACCUCCAUAAAGUCUGAACAAGCUUAGUGGAAUCCAACCAAGUUCUGUCGAACUUAAUAUCAACCUAACCGAACUUAAAAUCACCCGACUGAGUUUAACACGUCUCGACUAAGUUUUUAAAAUUUAGUUGAGUUUGUGUUUUUUAGCCUGAAAUUGUGCUGUCUGAACUCUCUCUAUUAGUGUUUAUUUCAAUUCUAGUUUUGACACUUGACAUUAAUAUACUAUUGUUUUAUACUUAAAUUGGAAGUUGUCUUUCGCAAAAAUGAAUUUUAAUUCAAAUUAGGUUAAAGUAAUCGAUUAUAUAUGCAAUAAAUUAUAAAAAUUAUGAAAAACCUUCACAAACUAUCCUGAUUUAAGAUGAAUUUAGUGAAUGAUCUAAGAUUAACGAGAGGUGUAUAUCUACAUAAAAACUUAUAAUCUUUUUUUUCUUCGGUCCAUCCUGGAAUCCCCCGCCAAUGUCACCCUUCUAAUCCUUUUCCCCUUCCCCGCACAUCCGGAUUCUUCGAACUCCUCACCGAUGACAGAGUUUAGGUUUCCUAGGUCAUCCACUCAUGAACCACGAUUGUCCUCCUUGUCGUAGUGAAUGCAUCGCAAAGACGAUAACAGUGAUAGCGAGGAAUCGAAGCUAAUCGAGAAUGCAGAGAAGGAGGGCAUGUAUUGCAAUUUUUCGUCAAUGGGAUCAAAAUGGGUCGUCGGGACACGGCAACGCUGUUCUUUCUGGUGAGUUUCCUCUCUGUCGCUUAUGGAUUUGUGGGUGUUGUCUUCAUUUCGUUGUGAAUUAUUGUUGGAAAAGUUUAACUCUGUUAUUGGGAUGGUUCGAGCUUAGGUCUGAAGAUUCUUUCUUUAGUAUUAUUAGUAUAUAUUAUCUGCUUAAGAGAGUAUUAGUUCUACCUUGUAAUUUGGUGUUCGUUUUUUCGAGUGGGUUGUCGUUGGAGUUCAAUGUGGGAACGGUGAAUUGUCUGCAUUUUGGUUUGUGUUUUUUUUUGUGUUUCGAGUUUGCAUUUGGUGUGUCGUUGGUGUUUGGAUUUGGGAAGUGGGGGCAAUUGGUUUUCUGUUGUAGGAUUGAUGGUGCCCUUAACCUUUAUAACUUGUUACAACAUUUUGACUAUGUGUCUUUCUUUUGUGGAAUCUAUGGGAAAGGAAUGCACUGUUGUUCAUGCUUAUGUGUUUGAUUUCCCUUUGUAAUCAAAAUUGUUAAAUUUUUAAAGCACACACUUUAGAAGCUUAAUCAAUUAUAUAAGAAUUAGUUGCUUACAUGUGAUUGUAGGUGGAAUUGGUCGGUAAGUGGGUUGCAUUAUUGUGGCAUUGCUAUGGUACUGAUAUGAUAUUGUCAUAAAUUUUUGUUGUAUGGAGAAUCUCAGUUUUGCAGGUUCGGAAAUGGAUGAUGAAUCCACUACUCAUCUUGUUUAUCAUGCCUACAAUCUCAGAAAACUUCAUAUCUUGCAACCUUGUCUAGAUUAGCACUAAAGAUGGUCCAAUGUAAUUAGUCUUCCAUAGUGAUUUCUGCAGCGCUGAAUUAUCAAGUUUAGCAUUAGUAUGAUCCAUCUGAAGUGAUUAUUUUUAGUGGCUAUCUCCUGUAUUUUGGCAUACUUAGAAAAUGGUGCAUACCUAGAAUUCCAUGAGGAUCUCCAUUCCAAACAUUCUCCAGAUUUGGCUAUAUAUCCAUGAGGAUGGUUACGUAGAUUCUUAGAUUCCAAAGACUAUAGAACUGAAAUAAGAACAUCACGUAUGGGAAUCAUCAACCAAAGAUUAAAAGCAAUGGAAGCAGGGGAGUCUACGAACAAUGACUUGUUGGGCAUAUUGUUGGAAUCAAAUUACAGGGAAUUUUAAACAAGUAGUAGUGGAGGAAUGAGUUUAAGGGAAGUAGUUGAUGAAGUGAAGCUGUUUUACUUGGCAGGACAGAAAGCAAAUGCAGAGCUAUUGGUCUGAUGUUAAAAUUUUAUCUCUCUUAAGAAUUUUGUUUAGGUCAUCAACAUUUGCUUAUAUGUUUUUAACUGGUUUGGUAGUUUUCGAUCAUGCUAGAUCUUUUUAGAUUGUUUUGGUUAAUCUUCCAAUGUUAUUUAAUUUGCGGAGGAUAAAAACCUCCGCAAAAUGGAAAAUAAACCCCUACUAAAUAAUAGUGUUUUGUAGUAUGGUAUCGGAGUCAUAGUUUAGAGUUUAUCCUAAAAUAUUUUGUUGUAUGUUGGGUGUAUUGUUUCAUUCAUUAUCGAAUCAUUCAUUAAUGUCUAGUUUCAUAUAAUAGGUGUAUAUGAGAGUAUGUUAAAAGUCUCAUAUGACUAGAUAUAAGAUCAAAUCAUAAUAUAAUGUAUACCGUAUAAGUUGAUUUUGUAAGAUUGAGUUAAAGUUAAAGUAUAUCUCAUAACAAGUAUUUUAAUGAGUUGUGAAUAGUAUUGAAUGCACUUGAACCUUUUAAUUUAGGGUUUAUCAAUCUUUAUUAGAAUUGUAUUCUGCCCGCAAAUCUUAAACUGCAGAGAAUAGAUUACGCCAGGAAGAUUAAUAACACAGACUUCACAGAUCAUGAAACAAUGAGAAAUUUUUAGCAACAAAGUUCGAGAAUCGAUGUUGAGAAAGAAAAGAAAAACCUUGAGCUUAACGAGAUUAAAUGCAGGGUUGAUGAUCUUUCUGUGC
Vigna angularis (adzuki bean) is the source of this 2897-nucleotide RNA transcript. RefSeq lists it as uncharacterized. The transcript has 2 exons. NCBI's taxonomy places the organism in Eukaryota, Viridiplantae, Streptophyta, Magnoliopsida, Fabales, Fabaceae. The record is from RefSeq and is a predicted model, not a curated record.